AAAGUGGCGCACGGGUGAGUAACGCGUGGAUAAUCUGCCCGAGGAUUUGGGAUAACAUCUCGAAAGGGGUGCUAAUACCGAAUAAGCCCACGGGGUCUACGGAUCUUGCGGGAAAAGGGGGGGACCUUCGGGCCUCCUGUCUUCGGAUGAGUCUGCGUACCAUUAGCUAGUUGGUGGGGUAAUGGCCUACCAAGGCGACGAUGGUUAGCUGGUCUGAGAGGAUGAUCAGCCACACUGGAACUGAGACACGGUCCAGACUCCUACGGGAGGCAGCAGUGGGGAAUUUUGCGCAAUGGGGGAAACCCUGACGCAGCAACGCCGCGUGGGUGAUGAAGGCCUUCGGGUCGUAAAGCUCUGUCUGGAGGGAAGAAAUGAUUGGGAGCUAAUACCUCUUGAUCUUGACGGUACCUCUGAAGGAAGCACCGGCUAACUCCGUGCCAGCAGCCGCGGUAAUACGGAGGGUGCAAGCGUUGUUCGGAAUUAUUGGGCGUAAAGCGCGUGUAGGCGGUCUUUUAAGUCUGAUGUGAAAGCCCCGGGCUCAACCUGGGAAGUGCAUUGGAAACUGGGAGGCUUGAGUACGGGAGAGGAGAGUGGAAUUCCUAGUGUAGGAGUGAAAUCCGUAGAUAUUAGGAGGAACACCGGUGGCGAAGGCGGCUC
Molecule: ribosomal RNA, 657 nt
Filed under: uncultured bacterium
Lineage: Bacteria
Description: bacterial SSU rRNA
Rfam family: Bacterial small subunit ribosomal RNA
Source: RNAcentral